Molecule: RNase P RNA, 398 nt
Filed under: Bacteroidota bacterium
Lineage: Bacteria; Pseudomonadati; Bacteroidota
Also listed under: 1 other name
Description: RNase P RNA component class A
Rfam family: Bacterial RNase P class A
About the family: Ribonuclease P (RNase P) is a ubiquitous endoribonuclease, found in archaea, bacteria and eukarya as well as chloroplasts and mitochondria. Its best characterised activity is the generation of mature 5'-ends of tRNAs by cleaving the 5'-leader elements of precursor-tRNAs. Cellular RNase Ps are ribonucleoproteins.
Source: RNAcentral
AUGGCAGUCCAUUCUAUCGCCUUGGAUUUCACCAUCCAAGGAGGAAAGUCGGGACAACACAGAGUAGCCUGCUUCCUAACAGGAAGGUAUCGCAUAGAGCGAUAACAGAUAGUGCCACAGAAAAGAACCGUCGAAGGGUUGGUUCAGCCAACAAUCGACAAGGGUGAAAACGUGAGGUAAGAGCUCACGCUGCAGGAUGGCGACAUCUUGUGGGGGUAAACCUCAGGCGUUGAAAGGCCAAAUAAACCAGGGAUGCUCUAUGGUUCAUAGAGUGAGAGGGUUACUCGCCCAAUCCUGGAGGGUAGGCCGAUAGAGGUAACAGGUGACUGUUAUCCCAGAUAAAUGAUAGAAAUCCUGAAUUGAGGAUACAGAAUCCCGCUUAUAGGGCUGCCAUCUUU